GGAGGCGAGUGGGCGCCUGGUGGCCCUCCCGGUCUUCAAAACCGGCGUGAUCCGGCAUCCGGGUCAGGCGGGUUCGAUUCCCGUACGCCUCCGCCA
This 96-nucleotide transfer RNA is filed under the name Asanoa ferruginea. Its description in RNAcentral is "tRNA-Sec". It matches the Rfam family "Selenocysteine transfer RNA". RNAcentral also lists the same sequence under 1 other name. The record is from RNAcentral. Lineage: Bacteria; Bacillati; Actinomycetota; Actinomycetes; Micromonosporales; Micromonosporaceae.